AGUGAACGCUGGCGGUAUGCCUAACACAUGCAAGUCGAACGGCAGCACAGUAAGAGCUUGCUCUUACGGGUGGCGAGUGGCGGACGGGGGAGGAAUACAUCGGAAUCUACUUUUUCGGGGGGGAUAACGUAGGGAAACUUACGCUAAUACCGCAUACGACCUACGGGUGAAAGCAGGGGAUCUUCUGACCUGGCGCUAUGGAAUGAGCCGAUGUCGGAUUAGCUAGUUGGCGGGGUAAAGGCACACCAAGGCGACGAUCCGUAGCUGGUCUGAGAGGAUGAUCAGCCACACUGGAACUGAGACACGGUCCACACUCCUACGCGAGGCCGCAGUGGGGAAUAUUGGACAAUGCGCGCAAGCCUGAUACAGCAAUACCGCGUGGGUGCAGAAGGCCUUCGGGUUGUAAAGCCAUUUUGUUGGGAAAGAAAAGCAGCAGGUUAAUACCCCGCUGUUCUGACGGUACCCAAAGAAUAAGCACCGGCUAACUUCGUG
This 492-nucleotide ribosomal RNA is filed under the name uncultured bacterium. Its description in RNAcentral is "partial 16S ribosomal RNA". It matches the Rfam family "Bacterial small subunit ribosomal RNA", at positions 29 to 507 of the family's 1533-position model. The record is from RNAcentral.